Small nucleolar RNA from Cavia porcellus (domestic guinea pig), 66 nucleotides. Its record names the gene SNORD58. It matches the Rfam family "Small nucleolar RNA SNORD58". From Rfam's summary of the family: snoRNA U58 is found in introns 1, 3 and 6 of the ribosomal protein RPL17 gene in humans. U58 is a member of the C/D class of snoRNA which contain C (UGAUGA) and D (CUGA) box motifs. NCBI's taxonomy places the organism in Eukaryota, Metazoa, Chordata, Mammalia, Rodentia, Caviidae. The record is from Ensembl.
CUGCGGUGAUGCCUUUCUUAGGACACCUUUGGAUUUACCAUGAAAAUAAAUAAAAUUCUGAGCAGC